RNA transcript from Spinacia oleracea (spinach), 3393 nucleotides. RefSeq lists it as uncharacterized. The transcript is spliced from 10 exons. The record is from RefSeq and is a predicted model, not a curated record. NCBI's taxonomy places the organism in Eukaryota, Viridiplantae, Streptophyta, Magnoliopsida, Caryophyllales, Amaranthaceae.
ACGGUUUCGAAUAUAGCCAUAUAGGCUAUGCAAGUGUGAAAUACAGAGUACUCCGUAACUGAGAUCUUCUUCGACCUAUCUUCUUCAACCUAAUUUCAGUUUUCUGGCGGAAAAACUUUGAUACAAUCAGCAAGUUUGGUUGGGAAACGUGAAUAUUAGAUUGAAAUCUCGUUUCCCAUUCGUUUCCGGGAUGAAUUCAGUUUCAAACACGUCUCCAUUUUUCUGAAACGGUUUCGGCGCGCGUUUCCCGGUUUCCCCGUUCCAGGACGUUUCGGAAACGGCAUAAAUUUGAUACUGGCAAAAGAAGAUCUACUGUAAAAACAAACUACGGUACUACUACUUAUUGUUUUAUUUCUGAUGCUGGUACGAUCAUAUUGGAGGCUGAAUAGAGAGGAAACUAUAGGAGUUGGAAACAUCCAGGGAACAAGAGCUGAUUUUUUUCUGAAUAGGGAAGGCCAGUGGCCCUUACAGUGGUCAUAGUUUAGGCUCUUUUCCAGAUUUCUCAAGACUCGUUUAAUUUGGAGGUACCAUGAAGGGUAAAGCUUGUGUGUUAAAAAUUAUGUUCGCUGUCCAGAGUAUUAAAGUUGAUUUGUUUAAUUAUUAUCGUAACACAAGUCCUUUCACGAAAGCUUGUUUUUUCUCAUCAACAACUGAAAGUUCCAGCAGAUCAUCUCCACAUAUAGAUGAGAGGGUGCAGGAAUCUGUAAAGGUAGCAGCGUUCCCGAAAUGUGCAACUGAUGUUUUGAGGAAUUAUGGUUGUAGUGAAAGCCAAAUAUGUACAAUUUUCUCCCGACAGCCAUCAUUGCGCACUUGUAUCCCUACUAAUCUUGAAUCUAAGCUUAAUUUGCUUAGGAAAUUGGGUGUAUCGUCCUCUGAACUUGUGAAUAUGAUCCACUGUCGUCCGCGGCUUCUGUGUUGCCGAAUUAAUCGAAACUUUGAUGAACGUCUAGCUCAUCUGCAAUCUCUAUUUGAGUCGAGGGAUAGUUGUGUUAAAGCAAUCAUUAGGAAUCCCUCACUUCUGAUCUAUGACUUUCACAAGACGGUUGAACCUGUGAUCUCAUUGUAUGAGAAAAUGGGUCUCAGUAAAAAGGAUGUGAUUUCCAUGCUCAUGCUUCGGCCUACAAUAGUUCAUAGAACCAGUAUGAGCCCAGAGAAACUAGAGUACAUACGAAGGAUAGGAAUCUGCAGUAGAUCGAAAAUGUACAAGUAUGUGGUGACAAUAAUUGGUGUGUCACGUUUUGAGACUAUCCGUGAAAAGGUUGCAAAUCUUGAGGAUUAUGGUUUCUCAGAAGAUGAGGUGUUGGCACUUAUUGGUCGAUCUCCAUUGUUAAUGACUCUUUCUGUGGAAAAAGUUAAAAGGAAUAUGGCCUUUAUGAUGGGUACUAUGAAGCUGCCUGCCAAAACAAUAUGUCGUUAUCCAUUUUUGCUGUUUUCUAAUUUGGAAACAGUAUUGAGGCCUAGAGUGCUAUUGGCUGGUAAGAUGCGAGGAAUGGAUCUCAGCCCAGAACUAAAUGGAGCUGUAAUGUUAAAGGCAUUGAGAAUGACAGAACCGAGGUUCUUAAAGAGGUUUGUUGAGUGCCAGGAGGAGGAAAUCAGGAAACAGUUAUUGUCGUAUUAUAGAGUAUUUAAAGGCAUCAAGCUGUUGGCAGCAUCAUCUAAGAAAGCUUCGUAUACCUCUGGAUUUCCUUUCUGAAGACGCCUACUAUAGUUGUGCAUAUUUGGUGCAAACUGUGUAACUAUGGAGCUGUUGUGACUGUGAUGACAUGGAAAUCCCAAACCUUUAAAAUGCAUGCAAUUGGAGUACUGUGCUUAAGAACAGUGCUCCAUGUGCUUUCCUUCAUUUAACCUGAUUUUUUCCAUUUCCCCCAAUUUUCACAUUCUCUCUCAACCUAGCUUUCAUCCGCCCCUUCUCCCCUCUCCUCCAUCCUCCUCCCCUUUCUCCACCAGGGCCACCGUGUCAUUUUUUUUUUCCCUUAUCACUCUCUAUUACUCAUUUUCUCUGUCCUCUAAUCUCUUUCAGUAUCUCUAUUACUCAAUUAUUAAUUGCCAAAAAAAAAGAAGAAAAAAUCUCUUUCAGUAUCUCUCAUCGCUUGGACAUGCGAUACAUUUGCAGAUCUGCUCAUCUGGUCGAUUUUUUGGGCUAUUUGACAAGAUCAUAUGGAUCCGGACAACGUGACUUGUGAGGAUGAUUGUGAUACUCCCAAGUGCACCUCCAUUUUUCCACUCCGGUCAAGACAUCAACCAAGCUGUGCUUGGAUCCUAUAAUGAAGCUUCUGCUGAUUCUCAUGGUGCUUCUAACAAAAACGAGCCAAAUGUCCCUAAUGUUAUGCCAUCUGGUGCCAAUCAAGAGGGAAAUAAGGUUCCUCGUCAACAAGCAAGAACCACAGCCGGUGCAAAAUUUGCAAGGUCUUCUGGUUCACAUUCUGCUCGUCUACCUACUUUCCGUGCAAGAAGGUACAACAGAUAAAGCAACUCAGGGUUACUGCAGCAAGCUGAGUAGUUAGAAAUUGUUAGGGCAUCAAGCUAGCCAAUGAGUAAGUGGCUAUGCAUUUGCCAGUCCCGUGUUUUUAAAAGAGGGUGUGGCAUAAGUUAACUCUUUGCAGACAGCCUUAAGGAUUUGUAGAAUUUGCAAACUCAGCUACGGGGUUGAACGUGCAAUGGUUGGAGUUGAUCAUUUCUGUUUCAAGCAAGGAGAGAUGCAGAUUUUCUUGGUUUUCCUGUUUUGCCAACUGAUGUCAAAGAUCAUCUUUCAAGGUAUAUAUGUUGAGAAAUAAGAAGCAUGCAUUUAUCAAGGAUUACACUGAAGCCCAUACCAAACUCAACAACCUUGGAGCCACAUUUAUCCCCCGAGAAUUUCAGUUGGCACAAAAGAGGUCAAGAUGUGCUGAAAUGCAUCCGUUGUGUCGUUCCCAAAUGAGUUGAUCAUGAACUCAGCUGAACUACAAGCUGCAGGAACUGAUGACCCUCUGUACACUUUGCAGAUGUACGCAAUGAAGGUUUGGUAGUCCUGCACUGCAAACCACCCAACAGUCAAAACACGGUGUAGCAAAUCAAUAAAGACGAAAGAGAGCGAGUGAGGGGUUUAAACCUGACGAAAGUGGCUGAUUGUUGACAAGCACCCAUGGCACAUGCGCCAAAAUAGUUAUUUAUGUAGAUUGGUUCAACCGUAACAUUUCCCGUAGCUAUUGAUGAAUCAUGUACUCUUUGUCUGAUUCUUAUAUUUUUUUGGCUAAGUUCCUUUUCGAGGUUAUUUUCCCUGGGCCUAAUCAUUUUUCUUAUUUGCUAAUUUGAUUUUAUGGAUUGAUUUUAAUAUCAUGGGGAACAAAAUAAGUGACAAUUGUGAACAAAUAGACUUGGGAUUUGUAAGUGUAUUUUUCUUCAAAAUUUCCAUUA